This 93-nucleotide small RNA is filed under the name Vibrio sp. THAF64. Lineage: Bacteria; Pseudomonadati; Pseudomonadota; Gammaproteobacteria; Vibrionales; Vibrionaceae. The record is from RNAcentral. RNAcentral also lists the same sequence under 2 other names.
AAUGAUAAAUCAUCGAAUAUCAACCAGUUAGCGCAGGCUCUGUAAGAGCCAUUCCCCUAGGCCCAAAGCAAUAUCCGCUUCGGGCCUUUUUUU